Molecule: ribosomal RNA, 476 nt
Filed under: Citrobacter braakii
Lineage: Bacteria; Pseudomonadati; Pseudomonadota; Gammaproteobacteria; Enterobacterales; Enterobacteriaceae
Description: bacterial SSU rRNA
Rfam family: Bacterial small subunit ribosomal RNA
Source: RNAcentral
AAAUUGAAGAGUUUGAUCAUGGCUCAGAUUGAACGCUGGCGGCAGGCCUAACACAUGCAAGUCGAACGGUAGCACAGAGGAGCUUGCUCCUUGGGUGACGAGUGGCGGACGGGUGAGUAAUGUCUGGGAAACUGCCCGAUGGAGGGGGAUAACUACUGGAAACGGUAGCUAAUACCGCAUAACGUCGCAAGACCAAAGAGGGGGACCUUCGGGCCUCUUGCCAUCGGAUGUGCCCAGAUGGGAUUAGCUAGUAGGUGGGGUAACGGCUCACCUAGGCGACGAUCCCUAGCUGGUCUGAGAGGAUGACCAGCCACACUGGAACUGAGACACGGUCCAGACUCCUACGGGAGGCAGCAGUGGGGAAUAUUGCACAAUGGGCGCAAGCCUGAUGCAGCCAUGCCGCGUGUAUGAAGAAGGCCUUCGGGUUGUAAAGUACUUUCAGCGAGGAGGAAGGUGUUGUGGUUAAUAACCGCAGC